This 401-nucleotide ribosomal RNA is filed under the name uncultured bacterium. RNAcentral describes it as "bacterial SSU rRNA". It matches the Rfam family "Bacterial small subunit ribosomal RNA", at positions 356 to 774 of the family's 1533-position model. The record is from RNAcentral.
GGGGGAUAUUGGACAAUGGGCGAAAGCCUGAUCCAGCCAUGCCGCGUGAGUGAUGAAGGCCCUAGGGUUGUAAAGCUCUUUCACCGGUGAAGAUAAUGGCGGUAGCCGGAGAAGAAGCCCCGGCUAACUUCGUGCCAGCAGCCGCGGUAAUACGAAGGGGGCUAGCGUUGUUCGGAAUUACUGGGCGUAAAGCGCACGUAGGCGGAUUGUUAAGUCGGGGGUGAAAUCCCGGGGCUCAACCCCGGAACUGCCUUCGAUACUGGCAAUCUAGAGUCCGGAAGAGGUGAGUGGAAUUCCGAGUGUAGAGGUGAAAUUCGUAGAUAUUCGGAGGAACACCAGUGGCGAAGGCGGCUCACUGGUCCGGUACUGACGCUGAGGUGCGAAAGCGUGGGGAGCAAACA